Molecule: transfer RNA, 75 nt
Filed under: Phaeobacter gallaeciensis
Lineage: Bacteria; Pseudomonadati; Pseudomonadota; Alphaproteobacteria; Rhodobacterales; Roseobacteraceae
Also listed under: 38 other names
Description: tRNA-Val
Rfam family: tRNA
About the family: Transfer RNA (tRNA) molecules are approximately 80 nucleotides in length.
Source: RNAcentral
GGGCGCUUAGCUCAGCGGUAGAGCACUUCGUUGACAUCGAAGGGGUCACAAGUUCGAACCUUGUAGUGCCCACCA